AUGUUUCCGAAGAAAGGGCCCAAUCCCUACGGCCAGCCGCCGCAGUAUGGCGCGCAGCAACCGUACGGCAAAAUUCCUGGUAGCGGCGGGUAUGUGACAUCUGCUGCAGCAGCUGGUGGCACAGAUGGCCCUCAGUUUGGCGGCAAUGCGGCACAGGGUGCUGUGGGGCAGUAUGGAGGGCCUUACGCUGCGGUUUAUGGCGCGCAGAAGGUUGGUGGACUUGCUGGCAAAGGUCCAAGUUCUUCUGGUCUUCCCAACCUGCAAGCUCAUCAAACAUCACUCUCUGAGUCAUCAAAGUUCUCAUCUGGAGCUGUAGGGUCCAGUCUGGGAAGGCCAAAUGAUGACUAUCUAGCUUCUCGUGCAUAUGUGCCAAAGCUAGAGCAGUACAGUAUGAAUUAUGAAUUGGAGAGAAGGAUGUACGGUGAACAGUCAGCUAAUAUUGGCAGGAGAGAUGGCUUCAAUGAUUUGGAUAGAAGAUACCCCGAUCAUAUUCCUGGAAGCCAUCAGAUUCACGACCGUGUGGAUCAGGUUUCAUCGACGCGACAUCAGCAACUCCUAAAAACUCCACUGCAGCCUGUCUCUGACAUACGACAAGCCGAUUACUUUGCAGGAAGGGCCGGUCCAGUCCAUCAAGGUUCCCAGGAAGCUAGCGCAUAUGGAGGAGUUGAAGCCGAUCAUCACAGCUUGUUAAUUCUUGGAUCUGUUCCAUAUGGCGGCCAACAACAAGCUUCAAUCUUGGGGGGGACCCAGAGGACAAACAUGGACAGCCUUGUCUAUGGACAAGGGUCAUCGGGCAGUGGUUACGUGAUGGGCCUACCCCCUGGACACGACUAUGCUUCAGGGAAGAACUUGCUGCAUGCAUCUUCAGAGUCUGAUUACCGAGAUAGCAUCUUACCUCGUGUACAUCCAAGCAUCCCCAUGGUUGAUGAGCCAACAAGAGACAGGGUUGUUUUUCGCCGUGAACUGGAUCUAAGAGAUGAGGAGCAUAGAAGGGGCCUUUUGUGGGAAAGAGAGAAGGAAAGGGAAUGGGAACGCGAACAAGAGCUACGAUACCAUGAAAUGGAAAGAAAACAAGACAGGGAGCGGGAGCACGAACGUCUAAGAGAGCGUGAAAGGGAAAGGGGACUCGAACAAGAAAGAGUACGUCUUCGCGAGCGCCGGGAGAAUGGGAGGGAGCGGGAUAGGAAGCAUGUGGCUAUUCCAAGGCGGGAGCACACUCCUCCAAGGACACCUCGUGAAAGGCGGCGUUCUUCUUCUGUUAGAUCUGAGAAGCCUUUGCGGCGGCUUUCGCCUCGACGUGAUGUCCUGCAUAGGCCUCGUUCACCUGUUAAACAACUAAAGAGAGAAUAUAUUUGCAAGGUCUUUCCAUUUCGCUUGGUGGAUGCUGAGAGGGACUACUUAUCUUUGACAAAGCGAUAUCCUAGACUAGUGAUUUCUCCAGAUGUUUCUAAGGUUGUCUUGAACUGGCCAAAAGGAAACCUUAAUCUUUCAAUGCGCACACCAGUCAGUUUGGAGCAUGACAUCCAUGAAGUGGAUGAUAAGGCCGACGAAAGAACAGUUUUAUCUUCAGAGAAAUCGUACAGCACCGGCACUCCAGACACUGUUUGGAAUGUAAAGGUUCUCUUGAUGAGUGGUAUGAGCAACGGUGCCUUCGCUGAUAUAUGUUCAUUGAGAAGUGCCGAGGAACGACUAGCGCACUGGAACAAUGUCUUGAAAUUUGCUGUAUUUAAGAAGGAUCAUGCACUUAUUACAAUUGGAGGUCCUUGGAGUGCAGCAAUAGAUGGUGGAGAUCCAUUGAUUGACUCUUCGUGCUUGGUGCGGACUGCUAUCAGAUGCACUAAAGAACUGGUUCAGAUUGAUCUAUCUAAUUGCACACACUGGAAUCAUUUCCUCGAGGUCCAUUACAACAGAAUUGGCAAAGAUGGACUCUUUAGUCAUAAAGAGAUUUCCGUACUGUUUGUGCCAAACCUGUCAGAAUGCAUACCUUCAGUAGAGUUAUGGAAGAAAACCUGGAUUACAUACAGAAAUUCAAAAGUAGACAGGGAGAAACUGGCUAUAAAGAGUGAAAAUGCCCCUUGUGAUACAAAGGAACAGAAGGAAGGAGCAGAUGAUGGUCAUAUGAGGGAGGGGGAUAUUUGCAAGGAUGUUACCAAAAUUGAGAAAGUUGAUACUAAAAUGGAUGAGCAGGGCAAAGAUGGGGAGGCAAAGUUUGUUGAGAAUAAAGGGAAACCACUUGAUAAUGCUGUGGAACAUAAUAAGAAGGGUGGGGACAUUCAAGGAAAUACCUCAGGCGAUGCCUCCGUUCACCAUGCAGUUGAGGAUAAAAAGCCCACACGAAGGAAAGUAAUAAAGAAGGUUAUCAGAAAAGUUGUUCGUGAAAAGCCAACUGCUGAAACUUCAAUUGACAAAUCAUCUCAGGUGGACAAGGCUGUGGUGGCAGAAACCACAAACAAAACUGUGGAAGAGCAGGUUGAACAAACAACUGAGGAUGUUAGUAAAAAAGAGGAUGGAACUGGCAUUAAUCUGCAACCUGAGACCAAUAAAACUGGGAAGAAGAAAGUAAUUCGAAGGAUUAUUAAGAGAAAAGUUCCUGCUUCAGGAUCCAAGUUGAUUGCACCUGCUGUACCUGCAGAAACAAGUAAACAAGGAGGGGAAGUUCAACAAGAAAAGAAUGAUGAAAGCUUGACUGAUGCUGGAAAUUCUCAGAUUAAGCUGGCAGAACGGUCUAACAUUGCUGCUGAAAAGAUUUCAAAUCCGAAGAAAGAAGAAAAGGCAGAUAAGGCACAUCUAUGUACCGAGGAUAAAAAAUCAAAUGGAGAUAAGGUUAGUGAACAGGAAGGUGUGAAUGGAGAUGUGAAUAAAGAGGGGGGGAAUGGAACGAAAGAUAAGGCAAAGGAUGGUAAAGAAAAAAAGAUAAAUGACCUGAAGAAGGAUCCAAAGCAAAAGUCACUUAAUAAUGACACCAAAGAGAAGAAGAAAUCUGACGAACCUCCUAAACAUCCAGGAUUCAUUCUGCAGACAAAAAAGAGUAAAGAGUCUAAACUCCGUCCAAUAUCCCUUUCAUUGGAUGGCCUACUAGACUAUACAACCAAUGACACAGAGGAAUCUGUUUUUGAGCUUUCGCUGUUUGCUGAAUCGUUCAGUGAAAUGCUUCAAUUCAGAAUGGGCUGCAUUAUCCUGUCUUUUCUUGAGAAACUACACAAGCACUUCGUUACAAAGAAGAACCGACGUAAGCGAACAAGAGAGGAUGAUCUAAUGAAGGAAGGCACAAAAUCAUCAGAAAAGAGAUCAAAGACAACUGACGAUGCUCACAUUGAAAGUACCCCUAAUAAUAUCAGUGCUCCAAAAAAUGAUAAAAUAAUGGAAGAUGAUAAGAAAAAGAUGAGCAUAGAUCAGAUACCUUUACCAGCUACUCGUGAUGAACCUGAAGCAGCAGAGAAGAUGGAGGAUGAAGAUCCUGACUACGAAGAAGAUCCCGAGGAAGUAGAAAUAUAUGAAGACGAUGAGGACAUGGAUGGUGAUACAGCUGAGCAACAGGACGGUAAUUUGAACAGUAGAGAGGUCAAAUUAGAAGAAGUAACAAAAGAAGAUAAAGUGAACCAGAAAGCAGGGAAGGAGAUCGAAUUAGAAAAUGUUGCCUGUACAGAUGAAAAGCCUGUUUCGAGGAAGGUCAAGCCUACUAUAGCAGAGAAAGGAGGUUUGGUAGAAGUUGGCGAUAGGGCAGCUGUAUCACCGAAAGGAGAUUCAGCAAAACAUGAAGUAAUUGAUAAGGACCUGUUGCAGGCUUUUCGCUACUUUGACAAGAGCAGAGUGGGCUAUAUCAAGGCAGAAGAUCUAAGGUGCAUUAUUCACAACCUGGGGAAGUUCUUGUCUAAUAGGGACGUGAAGGACUUGGUGGAGACUGCGCUUGCUGAGAGCAAUUCGGCGAGGGAUAACCGUGUUAUCUAUACAAAGCUUGUGAAGAUAGUGGACCUCUGA
This 3978-nucleotide ribosomal RNA is filed under the name Triticum aestivum (bread wheat). Its description in RNAcentral is "partial small subunit ribosomal RNA". Lineage: Eukaryota; Viridiplantae; Streptophyta; Magnoliopsida; Poales; Poaceae. The record is from RNAcentral.